GACGAACGCUGACGGCGUGCCUAAUACAUGCAAGUUGAGCGCUGAAGGUUGGUACUUGUACCAACUGGAUGAGCAGCGAACGGGUGAGUAACGCGUGGGGAAUCUGCCUUUGAGCGGGGGACAACAUUUGGAAACGAAUGCUAAUACCGCAUAAAAACUUUAAACACAAGUUUUAAGUUUGAAAGAUGCAAUUGCAUCACUCAAAGAUGAUCCCGCGUUGUAUUAGCUAGUUGGUGAGGUAAAGGCUCACCAAGGCGAUGAUACAUAGCCGACCUGGGAGGGUGAUCGGCCACAUUGGGACUGAGACACGGCCCAAACUCCUACGGGAGGCAGCAGUAGGGAAUCUUCGGCAAUGGACGAAAGUCUGACCGAGCAACGCCGCGUGAGUGAAGAAGGUUUUCGGAUCGUAAAACUCUGUUGGUAGAGAAGAACGUUGGUGAGAGUGGAAAGCUCAUCAAGUGACGGUAACUACCCAGAAAGGGACGGCUAACUACGUG
Molecule: ribosomal RNA, 497 nt
Filed under: uncultured bacterium
Lineage: Bacteria
Description: partial 16S ribosomal RNA
Rfam family: Bacterial small subunit ribosomal RNA
Source: RNAcentral